GCAUGUGAGGGUGCUCUGGCUGUGACAUCUGUCACCCCAUUGAUUGCCAGGGAUGAAGCAGCUGAUCUGGCUAUGGAGGCUGGUGUCCCUUCCCCCCUCACCAGUCCGUUGCAUCCUUCCCAGAGCUGCGUGCUGUGUUCCUGGACAGAAGGCCUGCUCUCCAGUCAAGGUAACAGGAGUAACCCCCUCACACCCCCGCCCCCACCCCCUGACUCUGGAGUCUGGAAUUUCCAGACAAACUCAGA
Molecule: unclassified non-coding RNA, 245 nt
Organism: Marmota marmota marmota (Alpine marmot)
Lineage: Eukaryota; Metazoa; Chordata; Mammalia; Rodentia; Sciuridae
Gene: 7SK
Rfam family: 7SK RNA
About the family: 7SK was discovered as an abundant small nuclear RNA in the mid-70s but a possible function has only recently been suggested. Two independent studies have found that 7SK RNA binds the CDK9/cyclin T complex (known as elongation factor P-TEFb). P-TEFb activates transcription by phosphorylating the C-terminal domain of RNA polymerase II.
Source: Ensembl